This is a non-coding RNA of Schistosoma rodhaini, 45 nucleotides long. The record is from Rfam. Lineage: Eukaryota; Metazoa; Platyhelminthes; Trematoda; Strigeidida; Schistosomatidae.
AUCCAGCUGAUGAGUCCCGAAUAGGACGAAACGCGCGUCCUGGAU